RNAcentral lists this ribosomal RNA (490 nucleotides) under uncultured bacterium. RNAcentral's name for it is "partial 16S ribosomal RNA". It matches the Rfam family "Bacterial small subunit ribosomal RNA", at positions 30 to 507 of the family's 1533-position model. The record is from RNAcentral.
AUUGAACGCCGGCGGCAGGCCUAACACAUGCAAGUCGAACGGUAACAGGAAGCAGCUUGCUGCUUUGCUGACGAGUGGCGGACGGGUGAGUAAUGUCUGGGAAACUGCCCGAUGGAGGGGGAUAACUACUGGAAACGGUAGCUAAUACCGCAUAACGUCGCAAGACCAAAGAGGGGGACCUUAGGGCCUCUUGCCAUCGGAUGAGCCCAGAUGGGAUUAGCUAGUAGGUGGGGUAACGGCUCACCUAGGCGACGAUCCCUAGCUGGUCUGAGAGGAUGACCAGCCACACUGGAACUGAGACACGGUCCAGACUCCUACGGGAGGCAGCAGUGGGGAAUAUUGCACAAUGGGCGCAAGCCUGAUGCAGCCAUGCCGCGUGUAUGAAGAAGGCCUUCGGGUUGUAAAGUACUUUCAGCGGGGAGGAAGGGAGUAAAGUUAAUACCUUUGCUCAUUGACGUUACCCGCAGAAGAAGCACCGGCUAACUCCGUG